GCACACCAUGCUGGCGUCGCUGCGCACCCACCAGCACCCGCCGACGCUAGCCCAGUCGACCGCCAACGGCUCGGCCUCGGCACCCAUCUCAGACACCUCCGAUUACAAGAGUAGUUCGUGCUAGGACUGUAGAGCGCGCCAGGGUCGCGCUGCGGCCGGCCUUGGCUCGCGCCGUGCGGUGUUGGUGACCGCACGCCCGACAGUGUGGCCUGACUAGACCAAAGACUGCCCGUGGCAGGCUAUUCAGCUCCGGUUCGUUUGAGUACAGUACGCGCGGCAGCUAAUCGUCUCUCCUGUGGAAGGUCCAGUGUGAGGACUUCGUACCAUGCCGUCGUCUUGUCGCCUUCGUCAUCCAUUGAACAGCUGAAAAGCGCUGCAUCUCACUCCAGUAUCGCAGCGUGGCGCGCUUCUCCGCUUCAUGAACUGUGGUGUGCGUGCGUGUUAUCUCUUCCUCGUGUGUCGCGUAGGUUUGUCGGCAACUAGUGUUGUUUGCGGAGAACAAAGUUGGAACAGCGGUUAGGCUACCUCCGUCUAGCUGUGCUCUGUGCAAUGGUAAUGAAGUUGCGUGCUGAGUGGGCACGUAUGUACGUAAAUUGAUAGUCAUCGGCUGGCGUCGUGGCGCUGCAUAGAUUGCUUUGUUAGAGCCAACCUUUAAGUGUUUGCACCGUGUCACAAUCAGGUUGCAAGUUUCUGCAAAAUAAAAGUUUCUUCAUGAA
This is a long non-coding RNA of Pollicipes pollicipes, 716 nucleotides long. RefSeq lists it as uncharacterized. The record is from RefSeq and is a predicted model, not a curated record. Lineage: Eukaryota; Metazoa; Arthropoda; Thecostraca; Pollicipedomorpha; Pollicipedidae. The transcript is spliced from 2 exons.